Molecule: long non-coding RNA, 489 nt
Filed under: Monodelphis domestica (gray short-tailed opossum)
Lineage: Eukaryota; Metazoa; Chordata; Mammalia; Didelphimorphia; Didelphidae
Description: lncRNA (ENSMODG00000045826.1)
Source: RNAcentral
AUGAAUGAUCUCCAUUUCAAGUAUUAAGACUGCAACGAAAAUACAGUCCUUCAUCUCAUUAGGGUAUAAAAUAUAUACAGAAGAAGAAAUAUAUGAUAAUUUGAAGAUUGAGAAGACAAUUUUAACUAGGAAAAUACAGACAAGUCUCUCACUGAAAAUGAAAUUUAAGUUAAGCCUUGGGGAUAUCUAAGUAUUCUGAGAGGUAGAAUAUAAGAGAGGUCAUUCAAAGUAAAGGGCAUGGAGAAGAAAAUGGAGGAGCAGGGGGAGAAGGAGGAGGGGAAGAAGAAGAGAAGGAGGAGGAAGAGAAGAGGAAGAAGAGGAAGAAGAAAAAGAAGUAAAAGAGGAAGAAAAAUGAAGAAAGAAAAAAUAGAGGAAGUCAGGAAAAGAUGCAACAUUUCUGUUGUUUCAGCAUGGUUCAAAUACAUAGAAAAAAAUGAAAAACAUCCUUCAAAAUUACAUAAUGAACUAUUGAAAGCAGAACCCAAGUGA